GCAUCAAGUCUGCUGUCAAAGGUCGGAGCUUAACUCCGGUUCGGCAGUGGAAACUGGUGCGCUAGAGGGCGACAGGGGUAGAGGGAGUUCCCAGUGUAGCGGUGAAAUGCGUAGAGAUUGGGAAGAACACCGGUGGCGAAAGCGCUCUACUGGGUCGCACCUGACCCUCAGGGACGAAAGCUAAGGUAGCGAAAGGGAUUAGAUACCCCUGUAGUCUUAGCCGUAAACGAUGGAUACUAGGCGUGGCUUGUAUCGACCCAAGCCGUGCCGAAGCUAACGCGUUAAGUAUCCCGCCUGGGGAGUACGCACGCAAGUGUGAAACUCAAAGGAAUUGACGGGGGCCCGCACAAGCGGUGGAGGAUGUGGUUUAAUUCGAUGCAACGCGAAGAACCUUACCAGGGCUUGACAUCCCGCGAAUCUCGGUGAAAGCCGAGAGUGCCUUCGGGAGCGCGGAGACAGGUGGUGCAUGGCUGUCGUCAGCUCGUGUCGUGAGAUGUUGGGUUAAGUCCCGCAACGAGCGCAACCCUCGUCCUUAGUUGCCAGCAUUGAGUUGGGCACUCUAGGGAGACUGCCGGUGACAAACCGGAGGAAGGUGAGGAUGACGUCAAGUCAGCAUGCCCCUUAUGCUCUGGGCAACACACGUCCUACAAUGGUCGGGACAAAGGGGAGCGAGCUCGCGAGAGUCAGCGAAUCCCAGCAAACUCGGCCUCAGUUCAGAUUGCAGGCUGCAACUCGCCUGCAUGAAGGAG
This 749-nucleotide ribosomal RNA is filed under the name uncultured cyanobacterium. RNAcentral describes it as "bacterial SSU rRNA". It matches the Rfam family "Bacterial small subunit ribosomal RNA", at positions 580 to 1328 of the family's 1533-position model. The record is from RNAcentral. Lineage: Bacteria; Bacillati; Cyanobacteriota.